This 460-nucleotide ribosomal RNA is filed under the name uncultured bacterium. Its description in RNAcentral is "bacterial SSU rRNA". It matches the Rfam family "Bacterial small subunit ribosomal RNA", at positions 338 to 795 of the family's 1533-position model. The record is from RNAcentral.
CCUACGGGCGGCUGCAGUGAGGAAUAUUGGUCAAUGGGCGGAAGCCUGAACCAGCCAAGUAGCGUGCAGGAUGACGGCCCUAUGGGUUGUAAACUGCUUUUAUGCGGGGAUAAAGUAUGGGACGUGUCCCAUUUUGCAGGUACCGCAUGAAUAAGGACCGGCUAAUUCCGUGCCAGCAGCCGCGGUAAUACGGAAGGUCCGGGCGUUAUCCGGAUUCAUUGGGUUUAAAGGGAGCGUAGGCCGCCCCUUAAGCGUGUUGUGAAAUGCCGCGGCUCAACCGUGGCACUGCAGCGCGAACUGGGGGGCUUGAGUGUGCGCGACGCAGGCGGAAUUCGUGGUGUAGCGGUGAAAUGCUUAGAUAUCACGAGGAACCCCGAUUGCGAAGGCAGCUUGCGGGAGCACUACUGACGCUGAAGCUCGAAGGCGCGGGUAUCGAACAGGAUUAGAUACCCUGGUAGUC